CAGGGGGACUAGGGGUGAGCAGGCCCAGACCCCAGCUCAUGCUCACUUCAGUCCCUCCCUA
RNAcentral lists this microRNA precursor (61 nucleotides) under Nomascus leucogenys (northern white-cheeked gibbon). Its description in RNAcentral is "mir-6794 microRNA precursor family". It matches the Rfam family "mir-6794 microRNA precursor family". Lineage: Eukaryota; Metazoa; Chordata; Mammalia; Primates; Hylobatidae. The record is from Rfam by way of RNAcentral.